Long non-coding RNA from Gopherus flavomarginatus (Mexican gopher tortoise), 1621 nucleotides. RefSeq lists it as uncharacterized. The record is from RefSeq and is a predicted model, not a curated record. NCBI's taxonomy places the organism in Eukaryota, Metazoa, Chordata, Testudines, Testudinidae. The transcript is spliced from 3 exons.
CCAGAGCCGGGGAGAGAACCCAGGAGUCCUGGCUCCCAGCCCCCCUGCUCUGACCCACCAGCCCCCACUCCUCUCCCAGAGCCAGGGAGAGAACCCAGGAGUCCUGGCUCCCAGCCCCCCUGCUCUGACCCACCAGCCCCCACUCCCCUCCCAGAGCCGGGGAGAGAACCCAGGAGUCCGGGCUCCCAGCCCCCCUGCUCUAACCACCAGCCCCCACUCCCCUCCCAGAGCUGGGGAGAGAACCCAGGAGUCCUGGCCCCCAGCCUCCCCCCGGCUCUAACCCACCAGCCCCCACUCCCCUCCCAGAGCCAGGGAGAGAACCCAGGAGUCCUGGCUCCCAGCCCCCCUGCUCUGACCACCAGCCCCCACUCCCCUCCCAGAGCUGGGGAGAGAACCCAGGAGUCCUGGCUCCCAGCCCCCCCUGCUCUGACCCACCAGCCCCCACUCCCCUCCCAGAGCUGGGGAGAGAACCCAGGAGUCCUGGCUCCCAGCCCCCCUGCUCUAACCCACCAGCCCCCACUCCCCUCCCAGAGCUGGGGAGAGAACCCAGGAGUCCUGGCUCCCAGCCCCCCUGCUCUAACCACCAGCCCCCACUCCCCUCCCAGAGCUGGGGAGAGAACCCAGGAGUCCUGGCUCCCAGCCCCCCCUGCUCUAACCACCAGCCCCCACUCCCCUCCCAGAGCUGGGGAGAGAACCCAGGAGUCCUGGCUCCCAGCCCCCCCUGCUCUGACCCACCAGCCCCCACUCCCCUCCCAGAGCUGGGGAGAGAACCCAGGAGUCCUGGCUCCCAGCCCCCCUGCUCUAACCCACCAGCCCCCACACCCCUCCCAGAGCCGGGGAGAGAACCCAGGAGUCCUGGCUCCCAGCCCCCCCUGCUCUGACCCACCAGCCCCCCUCCCCUCCCAGAGCUGGGGAGAGAACCCAGGAGUCCUGGCUCCCAGCCCCCCCCCCGCUCUCACCCCCCAGGCCCCACCCCCCUUGCCCACAGGUCUGUUUUCCUAUCAGGUCUCAAGGAAUCCACAGAUCUCUGGGGCUGGAUUUACUGCCCCCCAGGAAGGGGCCCUGAGGCAGACUCCAAUGAAAUGGCUGGUCCAGCCCCAGAGACCUGCCCCCCCUGCAGAAAGAGCUGGGCUGGGGGCAGAAAAUGCUUAUCUGGGAAGCUAAUCAGGCAGGGCUCAGGGUGACUAAUCUAAUUGGUCCACUGAUAAGAUAAGGAGCUCAAGGGAUAUUGAGCCUGUAUUUCCCUGGCUGAGACCUGCAGAGCACAGGCCCAGCUGCCUGUAACUGGCUGCCCCGCCCCAGAGGUGGCUGCAUCUCGGCGCCAGGUGAGGGGUCCCCGGGUAACCCGCCGCCCCGCCCCAGAGGUGGCUGCAUCUCAGCGCCGGGUGAGGGGUCCCUGGGUAACCGGCCGCCCCGCCCCAGAGAUGGGCGCAUCUCAGCACCGGGCGAGGGGUCCCUGGGUAACCGGCCGCCCAGCCCCAGAGAUGGCUGCAUCUCAGCACCAGGCGAGGGGUCCCUGUGUCACCAGCCGCCCCGCCCUAGAGGUGGGCGCAUCUCACUCACUGGAAGACAAGAGAGCAGUUCUGCCAGUCGAAGGGGAAGUAAGUGACUUCAAUAGCAC